RNAcentral lists this small nucleolar RNA (138 nucleotides) under Ornithorhynchus anatinus (platypus). The record is from RNAcentral. Lineage: Eukaryota; Metazoa; Chordata; Mammalia; Monotremata; Ornithorhynchidae.
CCCCUCUCAGGAUCACACCUGGAGAGUUUCCAGUACUCUACCAAUCUCGACGAUGGGAGGGAGAAUCAAGCAGAGGCCUACCCAUUCUAUUCCUAGCUUGGGCAGUGGCUAGCGAGGGGAAGACAAUCUGCUACAGGU